UAACGCGUGGGAAUCUGCCCUGGAGUGGGGGAUAACCGAGGGAAACCUCGGCUAAUACCGCAUACGUCCCGAGGGAGAAAGAUUUAUCGCUCUAGGAGGGGCCCGCGUCGGAUUAGCUAGUUGGUGAGGUAACGGCCCACCAAGGCUAUGAUCCGUAGGUGGUCUGAGAGGAUGAUCACCCCCACUGGGACUGAGCCCCGGCCCAGACUCCUACGGGAGGCACCAGUGGGGAAUAUUGGCCAAUGGGCCCAACCCUGAUCCAGCAAUGCCGCGUGAGUGAUGAAGGCCUUAGGGUUGU
Molecule: ribosomal RNA, 298 nt
Filed under: uncultured Sphingomonadaceae bacterium
Lineage: Bacteria; Pseudomonadati; Pseudomonadota; Alphaproteobacteria; Sphingomonadales; Sphingomonadaceae
Description: partial 16S ribosomal RNA
Rfam family: Bacterial small subunit ribosomal RNA
Source: RNAcentral